RNAcentral lists this unclassified non-coding RNA (594 nucleotides) under Aspergillus flavus. Its description in RNAcentral is "sequence contains 18S rRNA gene, ITS1, 5.8S rRNA gene, ITS2, 28S rRNA gene". The stretch from base 224 to 377 matches the Rfam family "5.8S ribosomal RNA". Lineage: Eukaryota; Fungi; Ascomycota; Eurotiomycetes; Eurotiales; Aspergillaceae. The record is from RNAcentral.
GUAACAAGGUUUCCGUAGGUGAACCUGCGGAAGGAUCAUUACCGAGUGUAGGGUUCCUAGCGAGCCCAACCUCCCACCCGUGUUUACUGUACCUUAGUUGCUUCGGCGGGCCCGCCAUUCAUGGCCGCCGGGGGCUCUCAGCCCCGGGCCCGCGCCCGCCGGAGACACCACGAACUCUGUCUGAUCUAGUGAAGUCUGAGUUGAUUGUAUCGCAAUCAGUUAAAACUUUCAACAAUGGAUCUCUUGGUUCCGGCAUCGAUGAAGAACGCAGCGAAAUGCGAUAACUAGUGUGAAUUGCAGAAUUCCGUGAAUCAUCGAGUCUUUGAACGCACAUUGCGCCCCCUGGUAUUCCGGGGGGCAUGCCUGUCCGAGCGUCAUUGCUGCCCAUCAAGCACGGCUUGUGUGUUGGGUCGUCGUCCCCUCUCCGGGGGGGACGGGCCCCAAAGGCAGCGGCGGCACCGCGUCCGAUCCUCGAGCGUAUGGGGCUUUGUCACCCGCUCUGUAGGCCCGGCCGGCGCUUGCCGAACGCAAAUCAAUCUUUUUCCAGGUUGACCUCGGAUCAGGUAGGGAUACCCGCUGAACCUAAGCAUAUCA